CACUCCUGCGGGAGGCAGCAGUGGGGAAUUUUGGACAAUGGGCGAAAGCCUGAUCCAGCAAUGCCGCGUGCAGGAUGAAGGCCUUCGGGUUGUAAACUGCUUUUGUACGGAACGAAAAAGCUCCUUCUAAUACAGGGGGCCCAUGACGGUACCGUAAGAAUAAGCACCGGCUAACUACGUGCCAGCAGCCGCGGUAAUACGUAGGGUGCGAGCGUUAAUCGGAAUUACUGGGCGUAAAGCGUGCGCAGGCGGUUAUGUAAGACAGAUGUGAAAUCCCCGGGCUCAACCUGGGAACUGCAUUUGUGACUGCAUGGCUAGAGUACGGUAGAGGGGGAUGGAAUUCCGCGUGUAGCAGUGAAAUGCGUAGAUAUGCGGAGGAACACCGAUGGCGAAGGCAAUCCCCUGGACCUGUACUGACGCUCAUGCACGAAAGCGUGGGGAGCAAACAGGAUUAGAUACCCGUGUAGUCCCAU
Molecule: ribosomal RNA, 473 nt
Filed under: uncultured organism
Description: partial 16S ribosomal RNA
Rfam family: Bacterial small subunit ribosomal RNA
Source: RNAcentral